CGCCCGCGCGGCGAGGAGUGGGUCGCCGCCUGGGAGGCGGCGAAGGACCCGUGGUUCAACUUCUCGGCCGGCAAC
Molecule: transfer RNA, 75 nt
Filed under: Capillimicrobium parvum
Lineage: Bacteria; Bacillati; Actinomycetota; Thermoleophilia; Solirubrobacterales; Capillimicrobiaceae
Description: tRNA-Pro
Source: RNAcentral